CUUCUAAAAAAAUCAGUCGAACCUAACUCCAUCGCUUCUGCCAGUACCACCACCGUCUCUUACGCCACCACCGCAACCAACACCAUCGUCACAGCCACGACCGUCUCCAUUGUCACAACCACAACCAUCACUACUGUUUCUCCACCUCCUAAUCAAUCAAUUUAGAUCGAUUUUCACAUGAAUCAACUGAAAAACUUAAAUCUAGUGAUGAACCAACAAGAUUAAUCUCCAAAACCUAAUCUCGAGCAUCAGAAACGUUAGAUUCAUUUCAUUUCAACUGAACUGUACAUGAAGUUUCAAAUCCUGAGCGUACUUGAUUCACUAUUUGAACCCUAAAUUUGGAUCUCGUUCUUCUUCAGAUCGUCAUUGAUUCCGGUUUUGAUGGGGAUUGGGAUGCUAAAAGGAAAAGGUUGGUAUAGUCUUCUGGACAUUGGCACAAUAUAUUUUAGGCGAGAAUUAUGACGUUGAAUGAUGAUAGAACAGUUAUCACCUAUGUUACUGAUGGCCAGGGAUCAUGCAUGUUUCAAAUAAUAUACCAGAACUUUGCUUUCUGACGCUGGAUUGUCAGGAAGGAAGUGUGGAGACGGGAUACAUAACCAAUUCCAUGUGUGUAUAUCUUUUACCUUUAAGGGUUAAACCAAUGGAUUAGUUGUAGUAUGUUUUUAGUACCUACAGUUUGCUAAAUAAAUGGCAGUGGCUUUGACGCCAUGCCUGGUGUUGAGUGAUAUGUUUAGUACCCACAUUUUUCUCUUUUUCUUGAGGUUUAUUUGCUGCAAACUGAAUUAGAACCUGAGUAGCUAGAUCAGUGGCAAUAUCAGUCCAUGUUCAUGGUGAAAAAUAUAGAAUUGGUUCCCCUUUUAACUUUUCUACAUGACAGCAAGCCUAAACAAGGAGCUCCCAUGGGGUUAGAUUAUAUAUUUUUAGAAUUGGUUCAUGCA
Molecule: long non-coding RNA, 938 nt
Organism: Papaver somniferum (opium poppy)
Lineage: Eukaryota; Viridiplantae; Streptophyta; Magnoliopsida; Ranunculales; Papaveraceae
Exons: 4
Source: RefSeq, a predicted model, not a curated record